UGGGAUGCAGCAUGGAGAGAUUGCAAGAGGACAUCAGCACAAAUAAUAAAGAGAUACGGGGAUAAAAGACAACCUUGCUGCAGCCCCAUGGUCGAGAAGAAGUCGGUCGAGGGAGUCCCAUUAAUCAAUAUAGCGAAGGUGGGUUUACAAAUGCAUGCCAUGAUCCAUCCUAUCCAGCAAGGGUGAAAGCUAAACUCCUCCAAUGCCCACUCCAGGAAAGU
RNAcentral lists this long non-coding RNA (221 nucleotides) under Elaeis guineensis (African oil palm). RNAcentral describes it as "long non-coding RNA (EGUI_LNC074145)". Lineage: Eukaryota; Viridiplantae; Streptophyta; Magnoliopsida; Arecales; Arecaceae. The record is from RNAcentral.